RNAcentral lists this transfer RNA (72 nucleotides) under Dipodomys ordii (Ord's kangaroo rat). It matches the Rfam family "tRNA". From Rfam's summary of the family: Transfer RNA (tRNA) molecules are approximately 80 nucleotides in length. Their secondary structure includes four short double-helical elements and three loops (D, anti-codon, and T loops). The record is from Rfam by way of RNAcentral. Lineage: Eukaryota; Metazoa; Chordata; Mammalia; Rodentia; Heteromyidae.
GUGGGUGUAAGCUCAGUGGUGGAGUGCGUGCUUAGCAUGCAUGAAGCCUGAGUUCUAUCCUCACCACUCUUC